GCUACGGAAAAUCUUCCGUCGCGAUUAAACUUUAUCAUUUGCGACGGAAAAUGUUUGCCGUAGUAACUCUGCAAUCAAUUGCGACGAACUUUUCUCGUACCGUCGUAAACUUUUCUCUUACUCUUGGCGCUAACCCAAUUAUUUUCCCCCUGUUUUUACUUUUGGCCAAAGUUCCCACCAACAAUACAGCCCUAAUUCUUUAUCCCUCUUUUUCCCAAACAACACCUCUCUCUCUCCCCCUCCCUCCCCAAGCUUUGUAGCUCCUCGAACUGGAACUUACCGCAGAGAUCGACGAGGUCCGCACCGCAACCUACCGCCAACAGUGACGAGCUCCUCCGUCGACGUUAACGAGGUCUGCGCGCCGGAACAUACCACCGAGACUGACGAGCUCCUCCUUUCCAUCGAAUAGCUCCUCCUUCACCAAAUAAACUGUAACAACAGCUCUCUCACACCCCAGACACAACAAAUCCAGAUCAAUAUCUCUAGGAAUCUAAGGACCAGCCCAGAACUUCUGCUAAAUCCUGUUUUGAUAUGUCAAAAUGAGGCUGAAAAAUGCUUAAUUGAGACAUCUAUUAGUUCCCUUCGUAUAAGCCUCAAGACUAGCAGGCCUAAAGAUUGGGAGAAAGUCCCUGAUCCUAAGAAGUAUUUUGUCCAAUUUUUUGGAACAGAAGAGAUCAGAGAACACCAUCCAUUAGUUGAAAAGGCAGCUCAUUAGCAAGUCAGUAGUGAAGAAUCUGGAGUUGAUUUUGGCAAUCCAAAGCCAAGAGCUUGAUAUUAGCAGAUAAUGAGUCUGCCAAAGCAUCAAGACAACAGCUUAAAGAAGCUAGAAAAAAAAAGCUCAAGUUUCCUAGGCAUAAGCUAGCAUACAGUUACUUUGGUGCUGCAAUUCUUUAUCUUCCUGAACUAGUACAUAGGUGCCACAAUCUUUGUGAAGAAAUUCUAUUCAAUGUGCCACGAUGGGCUUUAGUUAUUUAUUUCGCUAAUAUGAGGUUGUAAUUGUUGAUUGGUUUAGUUAUAAUGGAUAUUUGUAGUUUAACUUUAGAUGCAUGUAUAAUAGUUUUCAUUUUUGCAUGUUCUUAGAAUGAAAAUAUGGUGCAAUUUUCACCAUAUUUUUUUUUUUAAAAAAAAUUCGUUUUUUGCGACGGCAAGGUUACCGUCGCAAAUACCUCCACAUGGAUUAUCCUAAAACAGACAUUGCGACGGAAGUCACCGUAGCAAAUGGGCCGUCGCAAAACAAUAAAUUUGCAACGGCAAGAGAAAACCGUCGCAAAAAAGUAUUUGCGACGGCAAAUUGCCGUAGCAAUUGGAUUUUGUGACGCCACCUAUUGCAACGCCUGUCUUGCCGUCGCAAAAACCUCAAUUUACCGUCGCGAAAAGUUUUUGCCGUCGCAAAAGCUCAAUUUGCCGUCGCAAAAUAGG
Molecule: long non-coding RNA, 1419 nt
Organism: Rosa rugosa (rugosa rose)
Lineage: Eukaryota; Viridiplantae; Streptophyta; Magnoliopsida; Rosales; Rosaceae
Exons: 6
Source: RefSeq, a predicted model, not a curated record